This 433-nucleotide ribosomal RNA is filed under the name uncultured bacterium. Its description in RNAcentral is "partial 16S ribosomal RNA". It matches the Rfam family "Bacterial small subunit ribosomal RNA", at positions 29 to 507 of the family's 1533-position model. The record is from RNAcentral.
AACGAACGCUGGCGGCAUGCCUAACACAUGCAAGUCGAACGAGACCUUCGGGUCUAGUGGCGCACGGGUGCGUAACGCGUGGGAACCUGCCCUUAGGUUCGGAAUAACUCCCCGAAAGGGGUGCUAAUACCGGAUAAUGUCUUCGGACCAAAGAUUUAUCGCCUUUGGAUGGGCCCGCGUUGGAUUAGCUAGUUGGUAGGGUAAAAGCCUACCAAGGCGACGAUCCAUAGCUGGUCUGAGAGGAUGAUCAGCCACACUUGGACUGAGACACGGCCCAGACUCCUACGCGAGGCAGCAGUGGGGAAUAUUGGACAAUGGGCGAAAGCCUGAUCCAGCAAUGCCGCGUGAGUGAUGAAGGCCUUAGGGUUGUAAAGCUCUUUUACCCGGGAUGAUAAUGACAGUACCGGGAGAAUAAGCUCCGGCUAACUCCGUG